This 259-nucleotide ribosomal RNA is filed under the name uncultured bacterium. RNAcentral's name for it is "partial 16S ribosomal RNA". It matches the Rfam family "Bacterial small subunit ribosomal RNA", at positions 98 to 353 of the family's 1533-position model. The record is from RNAcentral.
CGGAACGGGUGAGUAACGCGUGAGGAACCUGCCUCAAAGAGGGGGACAACAGUUGGAAACGACUGCUAAUACCGCAUAAGCCCACAGCUCGGCAUCGAGCAGAGGGAAAAGGAGUGAUCCGCUUUGAGAUGGCCUCGCGUCCGAUUAGCUAGUUGGUGAGGUAAUGGCCCACCAAGGCGACGAUCGGUAGCCGGACUGAGAGGUUGAACGGCCACAUUGGGACUGAGACACGGCCCAGACUCCUACGGGAGGCAGCAUG